GCGGUGUUCUAAAAUGUACAUGUGACAGGCUGCCAGUACUCAACUUUCAGCCUUUACCCUGUAUGUGCAGGAAUCUGCCCUCUCAGCAAACAGCCACAGUUACGUGUAGCCUUUUGAUGGCAGCUCUGCCAGCCAAAUUCCCACACAGGCUUAUUACUCACAGGCUAGUCUGUUUGGAAACUGAUAUAGAAGCUCUAAACAACACCCCCC
Molecule: non-coding RNA, 210 nt
Organism: Pelobates cultripes (western spadefoot toad)
Lineage: Eukaryota; Metazoa; Chordata; Amphibia; Anura; Pelobatidae
Source: the annotation of a GenBank genome assembly